GACGAACGCUGGCGGCGUGCUUAACACAUGCAAGUCGAACGGACAGGCCCUGCUUUUGUGGGGUUCUCGAGUGGCGAACGGGUGAGUAACACGUGAGUAACCUGCCCUUGUCUUUGGGAUAACUUCAGGAAACUGGGGCUAAUACCGGAUAUGAGCUCCUGCUGCAUGGUGGGGGUUGGAAAGUUUCGGCGGUUUGGGCUCGACUCGAGGCUUAUGCGCUUGUUGGUCGGGUAGUGGCUUACCAAGGCUUUGACGGGUAGCCGGCAUGAGAGGGGUACCGGGGACAAUGGGACUGAGAUACGCACCAGACGCGUACGGGAGGCAGCAGUGGAGAGUAUGGCGGAAUGGGGGGAAGCCAGAGGCAGAAACGCCGCGUGCGGGAUGACGGGCUUCGGGUUGUAAACCGCUUUCGCAUGUGACGAAGAGGGAGUGACGGUAAUGGGUAAGGAAGCAACGGCUAACUACGUG
RNAcentral lists this ribosomal RNA (468 nucleotides) under uncultured bacterium. RNAcentral describes it as "partial 16S ribosomal RNA". It matches the Rfam family "Bacterial small subunit ribosomal RNA", at positions 28 to 507 of the family's 1533-position model. The record is from RNAcentral.